CAAUAGCGUAUAUUAAAGUUGUUGCAGUUAAAAAGCUCGUAGUUGGAUUUCUGUUCUUGGGAUCUGGUCCGCCUCACGGUGAGCACUGGAUAACUGGGGACAUCCUCUCGAAGGCGGCAGGUGCACUUGAUUGUGUGUUUGUUGAAUUCGGGACCUUUACUUUGAAAAAAUUAGAGUGUUCAAAGCAGGCAUCGGCUUGAAUACAUUAGCAUGGAAUAAUGGAAUAGGACUUUGGUUCUAUUUUGUUGGUUUCUAGGACCGAAGUAAUGAUUAAUAGGGACAGUUGGGGGCAUUAGUAUUUAAUUGUCAGAGGUGAAAUUCUUGGAUUUAUGAAAGACUAACUACUGCGAAAGCAUUUGCCAAGGAUGUUUUCAUUAA
This 378-nucleotide ribosomal RNA is filed under the name uncultured eukaryote. Its description in RNAcentral is "partial 18S ribosomal RNA". It matches the Rfam family "Eukaryotic small subunit ribosomal RNA", at positions 592 to 976 of the family's 1831-position model. The record is from RNAcentral.